UUUCCAAGAUCACUCUGGCCCACCACACA
RNAcentral lists this non-coding RNA (29 nucleotides) under Homo sapiens (human). The record is from RNAcentral. Lineage: Eukaryota; Metazoa; Chordata; Mammalia; Primates; Hominidae.